RNAcentral lists this ribosomal RNA (379 nucleotides) under uncultured eukaryote. RNAcentral describes it as "partial 18S ribosomal RNA". It matches the Rfam family "Eukaryotic small subunit ribosomal RNA", at positions 592 to 976 of the family's 1831-position model. The record is from RNAcentral.
CAAUAGCGUAUAUUUAAGUUGUUGCAGUUAAAAAGCUCGUAGUUGGAUUUCGGAUGGGAUUUGCCGGUCCGUCGUUUCGAUGUGCACUGGCCAGUCCUAUCUUGUUGUCGGGGACUAGCUCCUGGGCUUCACUGUCCGGGACUAGGAGCUGACGAGGUUACUUUGAGUAAAUUAGAGUGUUCAAAGCAAGCCUACGCUCUGAAUACAUUAGCAUGGAAUAACACGAUAGGACUCUGGCUUAUCUUGUUGGUCUGUGAGACCAGAGUAAUGAUUAAGAGGGACAGUCGGGGGCAUUCGUAUUUCAUUGUCAGAGGUGAAAUUCUUGGAUUUAUGAAAGACGAACUUCUGCGAAAGCAUUUGUCAAGGAUGUUUUCAUUAA